AUGGAGAUGAUGCAUGAGGAGCAGCAAAGUCUAUGUUCUUUUUCUCGCUCUGAACAAGCAAUCAACGCGGCACAUGUGGAAGUUGUGAAUGGCACCGGUCUUGUCAUACUUAUGAGCAGGAGCACCGGCCACAUUACUCUUCAUGCCACUCUGAGCAGUUGGCUGCUGCUUGAGAUUGAUUUCCAUGUUGAAGGGAAGGGAGACCUGAUUGAGUUCCUGUAUAUGCAAGGAUAA
Molecule: ribosomal RNA, 234 nt
Filed under: Triticum aestivum (bread wheat)
Lineage: Eukaryota; Viridiplantae; Streptophyta; Magnoliopsida; Poales; Poaceae
Description: partial small subunit ribosomal RNA
Source: RNAcentral